Molecule: RNA transcript, 2354 nt
Organism: Alnus glutinosa
Lineage: Eukaryota; Viridiplantae; Streptophyta; Magnoliopsida; Fagales; Betulaceae
Gene name: ASI1-immunoprecipitated protein 3-like
Exons: 8
Source: RefSeq, a predicted model, not a curated record
AAAAAAAACUGGUGGAAUUUCUUCCGAGCUGUCGUGAUUUGCCCCCACCCUUGCCUUAUGUACUAACAGUGGUAAACUCGAAUUUCCGAACCGCCACCGUCAGCUAUAAACACCGAAACCGCACCGCUUGGCGGGCUUACUCUUUUUCGUCCGGUCCAGAGCUUCGCUGAGGGUGUUGCGUGUGUUCGAGGGCGAGGGUCUCAGAGAGAGAGAGAGAGGGGGUUGGCAUAGGCAUUGGCAUUGAAAUGAGGUACCGGAGGUUCGCGCAGAUUUCGACGAGCGACGACGACGAGGAGGCGCCGCCGAGAAAGCAGCAGCCACAGUCCUUGAACUCUGAAGAUGAGAGCCAGCCGCGGCGGAAGCGCCUGAAGCGCCUGAAGCUCGCGGAGGAGGAAGAGGAGCCGAAGGAGAAGAAGCGCCAGCAGAAGAAGAGGAAGAAGGGGAGGGAAGCGUCGGAGGACGAAGAGGAAGCAGAGGAGGAGGAGCCGCAGCAGGAGGACGCCAAGCCGAUUGGCGAGCCGGCGAGGUUCUCCGGGAAAGGGAGAGGCCGGAGGAGCCACUACGAGGCGUUCGAGUUCGACAACAACCGAUACGAUCUGGAGGAUCCUGUACUUCUAGUUCCUGAGGAUAAGCAACAGAAGCCUUACGUUGCAAUAAUUAAGGAUAUUACUCAGACCAAAGAUGGGAGCAUGAUGGUAACUGGACAGUGGUUUUAUCGCCCUGAAGAGGCUGAGAAAAAAGGUGGUGGAAGCUGGCAAUCAAGUGAUACAAGGGAGCUGUUUUACAGUUUCCAUCGUGAUGAGGUCCCAGCAGAAUCUGUGAUGCACAAGUGUGUGGUGCAUUUUGUUCCCAUACACAAGCAGCUUCCAAAUCGUAAACAGCAUCCUGGUUUUAUUGUACAAAAAGUGUAUGACACUGUUGCACGGAAACUGUGGAAACUGACUGAUACAGACUAUGAAGAUAAUAAGCAGCAUGAGAUUGAUCUUCUUGUUCAGAAAACUCUAUCACGUUUAGUGGAUCUUCCUGACAUUGAAACUGAAGAUACCGCUGCUGAUCAAGAAGAUCAGCUUAAGAGUAAACGAGCUUUAAGGAGAAAGAACAUUUCACCUCUUGAUGUUUCAAGGGAGGAAGAAGCAACAGCAAGGUCUGAUCAGCAUCUAAAAUCUGACACACCUGGAAGCUGUAUAACUAAUAACUCAGAAUACCGCUGUAUUUUAGCCAAUUUCAAGGCAUUGACUGGAGAGAACCAUCGUGAUAUAUGCCUAGAGGCACUUCUUAAAGGAAUUCAAUACAUGUGCAAUUCUGUCGACAGCAUGGAUGGAGAUGACAAAGAAAAAGUUAGUUCUGAUGGCAUUGGCAAUGAAAGAGAGAAUAAGUGUCACGAAGCUGCAAAUGGAUCUCAAGAAAAGUCUUUUCUCUGGCCAGAUGCUGCUGUUCCAUCUGUAACUGCUCUUGAGAGGACCGCCCAUGAAAUGUUUUCCUCAGAUCUGAAGUAUAACCAAAAGAUGCGAUCAAUGGUGUUUAAUCUCAAGAACAAUGCAUUACUGGCCCGGCGUCUUCUAAAUGGAGAAUUGGAACCAUCGAAAAUACUGAACAUGUCACCGAAUGAGUUAAAGGAGGGUUUAACAACGGAGGAAACAGCAAGAACGGAGCCUGAUGAGUCAGAGCGCAUGCAGAUGACGGAUGCUCGUUGCUCAAGAUGCAGUGAGUUUAAAGUUGGUGUAAGAGACAUUAUCCAAGCAGGACAUGGAGAGCGCUAUCAGUUGGAGUGUAUUGCCUGCGGCCAUUCCUGGUAUGCCUCUAGGGAUGAGGCAUCCAAACUGACAAUAGAUGCAUCGAGUACCCAUGGAAGCGUCGGCACGGCCCCUUUGGCCACUGCCAAAUUUGAAGAUGUAGAGAAGAAGCUGGUGAGUCCCCGUGAAUCUGACAAGCCAGCCAAUGACGUUUACAAGAAAACAAGUGAAGCAUACAUGCCUGUCCUGGAUACACAGAAAUCACUUGGUAGGCCCAAAAAGGAUGAAAAAUCUGAAUCUCCUUGAAAUGCCUGAGUAGAAUAUGCCGGCCCUUGCAGUUUUGGGCCACAUACUUAGUAUUUUUGUCUUGAGAAAUUGCCCCCUUGUACAGUUAGAUUAUAGGUUACGAUGGUGCUGAGACCCCUUCUGUUUCCAGUUCUAUUCACGGUUUGCUGUUAGAAGUGGUUUCAUGAAAGAAAAUGCCGAUUGAAGACACUGAUCAAUUCAACGAGGAAUGCUACUCAUCACAUCCAUUUAUGACAUUCAUGUUAUAUCGGUUGAUGUGACGAGUUUUUAAGUGGCUUUUCCUGGCACUCAUAUAAAAGAAACAUGCAAAAUCAA